CCUUAAUAGCGGAUGCACCAUUAGGAUGUCCUGAUCCAACAUCGAGGUCGUAAACCCCCUCGUCGAUAGGGACUCUGGGAGAGGAUUGCGCUGUUAUCCCUAGGGUAACUCGGUCCGUUGAUCGGCGUUCGCCGGAUCAUUUUUGGUCAGAAAUUCUGGUACUUAGAGUUGUGGCUCUUGGUUGUGGGGGCAGUGCCCCCAGUCCACAUGGGGGCUUUGUUUUCCCCCGCGGUCGCCCCAACCAAAGACAUAGGGGCUAGGGGUCACUGUGUUUUUACCUGUUAAUUUAAGGUUACUUGACGUGAUCUGCCUGGUGUCUAAAGCUCCAUAGGGUCUUCUCGUCUUAUGUGUUUAUGUCCGCUUCUGCACGGG
RNAcentral lists this ribosomal RNA (372 nucleotides) under Salmo trutta fario. Its description in RNAcentral is "partial 16S ribosomal RNA". The record is from RNAcentral. Lineage: Eukaryota; Metazoa; Chordata; Actinopteri; Salmoniformes; Salmonidae.